Non-coding RNA from Lasiosphaeria hispida, 85 nucleotides. NCBI's taxonomy places the organism in Eukaryota, Fungi, Ascomycota, Sordariomycetes, Sordariales, Lasiosphaeriaceae. The record is from the annotation of a GenBank genome assembly.
UCCGGUAUAGUGUAGGGGUUAACAUAUCUCGCUUUCAUCUCAUGAGAGCCCCGAGAAGCCCCGGGUUCGAUUCCCGGUACCGGAA